RNAcentral lists this ribosomal RNA (497 nucleotides) under uncultured bacterium. RNAcentral's name for it is "partial 16S ribosomal RNA". It matches the Rfam family "Bacterial small subunit ribosomal RNA", at positions 28 to 507 of the family's 1533-position model. The record is from RNAcentral.
GACGAACGCUGGCGGCGUGCCUAAUACAUGCAAGUUGGGCGCUGAAGGUUGGUACUUGUACCGACUGGAUGAGCAGCGCACGGGUGAGUAACGCGUGGGGAAUCUGCCUUUGAGCGGGGGACAACAUUUGGAAACGAAUGCUAAUACCGCAUAAAAACUUUAAACACAAGUUUUAAGUUUGAAAGAUGCAAUUGCAUCACUCAAAGAUGAUCCCGCGUUGUAUUAGCUAGUUGGUGAGGUAAAGGCUCACCAAGGCGAUGAUACAUAGCCGACCUGAGAGGGUGAUCGGCCACAUUGGGACUGAGACACGGCCCAAACUCCUACGGGAGGCAGCAGUAGGGAAUCUUCGGCAAUGGACGAAAGUCUGACCGAGCAACGCCGCGUGAGUGAAGAAGGUUUUCGGAUCGUAAAACUCUGUUGGUAGAGAAGAACGUUGGUGAGAGUGGAAAGCUCAUCAAGUGACGGUAACUACCCAGAAAGGGACGGCUAACUACGUG